CAUGAGCCCAAAGUUUCUUCUCCCACACGAGUCCCUAUCCCGUCCUUACAGGCGGUGAUCGAAAGCUUGUUUUUUGAAGGUUGGCUCUGUAGUCGUUCGUCCACCCAUUUGGCAAAGGCGUUCAUCCAUGGAGGCUCCGGCAGCUAUUCACCCUCACCUUCGUAAACACAGUGUUUAGGGAAACCUAAGAUUUACGUGUUAGAGAAACGAAAGAGGGAAGAGGAGAGUUUACCCCUGCAACGCCCCAACCCACCGAUCUUGCCUGAGAACGAUCAAGCAUCAGAGUUCUUUCUGCGCUGACAGGUUUGUGAUCUCAGAAUACAAACAGGAGCUUUUGCUGGUGAGGUUUGAACAGGGAUUUACAGUAGUCGGCGAGGAUUUUCUGCAACAAGUUUGAGUAAAUCUUCGAAAACCACAUCCCGUGUGGAGCAUCUUCGUUGGGCAUUACAAUAGAGUUUUUGGAAAAUUGGAGAAAUGAAGGAGGGAAGAGGAGAUUUUGCCACUGCAACGUCCCAACCCACCGAUCUUGCCGGAGAACGGUCAAGCAUCGGACUUGUUUUUGCUGCG
This is a long non-coding RNA of Macadamia integrifolia, 567 nucleotides long. RefSeq lists it as uncharacterized. The record is from RefSeq and is a predicted model, not a curated record. NCBI's taxonomy places the organism in Eukaryota, Viridiplantae, Streptophyta, Magnoliopsida, Proteales, Proteaceae. The transcript has 5 exons.